This 435-nucleotide ribosomal RNA is filed under the name uncultured bacterium. RNAcentral's name for it is "partial 16S ribosomal RNA". It matches the Rfam family "Bacterial small subunit ribosomal RNA", at positions 29 to 507 of the family's 1533-position model. The record is from RNAcentral.
AGCGAACGCUGGCGGUAGGCUUAACACAUGCAAGUCGAGCGGGCACUUUCGGGUGUCAGCGGCGGACGGGUGAGUAACGCGUGGGAACGUGCCCUCUGGUUCGGAAUAACUCAGGGAAACUUGAGCUAAUACCGGAUACGCCCUUUUGGGGAAAGGCUUGCUGCCGGAGGAUCGGCCCGCGUCUGAUUAGCUAGUUGGUGAGGUAACGGCUCACCAAGGCGACGAUCAGUAGCUGGUCUGAGAGGAUGAUCAGCCACACUGGGACUGAGACACGGCCCAGACUCCUACGGGAGGCAGCAGUGGGGAAUAUUGGACAAUGGGCGCAAGCCUGAUCCAGCCAUGCCGCGUGAGUGAUGAAGGCCUUAGGGUUGUAAAGCUCUUUUAUCCGGGACGAUAAUGACGGUACCGGAGGAAUAAGCCCCGGCUAACUUCGUG